GAGAAAAGUGAACUAAUCCACGAAACAAAACUAGAUUAAGUUUUCUCGAUCUCUCUGAUCGCCACUCACUAGCUAGUGCACGAUCUUCUGUUCUGUUUAUUGACUCCCUUCUUAGCUUGCAUCUUCUUGUUGUCUUCCUCUUUUCGCGUUUCCGACCUGAUCCAUCACAUGUACCAUUUCAUCUGGGUCGGAUUCGGGGCGCCCAUGCCGUGGAGGCCCUGCGGUGCCGUCGCGUCGUCCCUGCCGACGCCAAGGAAGUCCCUUGUGCUCACAUUGCCGUCGUCCACGCCCGCCAACCCUGAGAGGCCGCCGGUGCCUCCUCCCGUUAAUGGCAGUGAGUUCAUGAUGAGAUCAUGGAAAUAUGCCUCGUGAGACUUCUCUUCUUCCGCUGCCCUGCUACUAGUCUCCCGGACGCUGGCAGUGCCUGCGAAGCCGGCUGCGCGGAGCAGCGCGCUGGGGCCGUUGGGGUUGUGGGUGGUGCUCGACGUCGUCGAGCCCAUCUGAGCCGCCUUCAUCAGGAGCGCCGUCGCUGAGAGCCCGGCCGACGGAGAUGAGUUGUGCAGGGAAGGGACGAAGCCUCCGCCGAAGUGGCUUCCGAUGGACGCCAUCCCGUUACCAUGCUCGGUGUUGCUGCUGCUGCCGCCGUUGAGUUGGUCUUGGAUGACAAGGCGCGCGUCCUGAUGGCUGCUUCCGGGCCAUCCACCGCUGUUGCCAGAGAAGACCCCAAGGUUAGGGAGGUUGACGCGGGCGUUGCUGCUGCCUGGCUGGUGCUGCUGCUCGGGAAGUUGCGUCAGGUCAUGGCUAUGGAAGGGCUCCUUGCCGUGGAGCAGAGGGCCCUGGCUGCCAGACGUGCCACCACUGUUGCCAGAGAAGAACCCAAUGUCCAGGAGGUUAACGUUGGCGUUGCCGCUGUUUGGCUGAUACUGCUGCUCGGGGAGAUGCGUCAUCACGCCAUGCAAGGGCGCCUUGCCAUGGAGCAGAGGGCCCUGGCUGCCUUCGGAGAGAUCACCACCGUUGUCGGACAGGUCUUGUUCGAUAAGAGGAGUGCCGCCG
Molecule: unclassified non-coding RNA, 1053 nt
Filed under: Zea mays
Lineage: Eukaryota; Viridiplantae; Streptophyta; Magnoliopsida; Poales; Poaceae
Description: misc RNA Zm00001eb104500
Source: RNAcentral